This 891-nucleotide ribosomal RNA is filed under the name Triticum aestivum (bread wheat). RNAcentral's name for it is "partial small subunit ribosomal RNA". Lineage: Eukaryota; Viridiplantae; Streptophyta; Magnoliopsida; Poales; Poaceae. The record is from RNAcentral.
AUGCUUUUGGCCCCCUAUACCCACGAGGAUGUGCGGAAGGCGGUUUUCAGUAUAGGUGAUCUUAAAGCACCUGGGCCUGAUGGGAUUCAUGCCAUUUUCUUCAAAAAGUUUCGGCAUAUUUUGGGUGAUGAGAUUUCUCAAGAGGUUUUGUUUGCAAUAAAUUCAAGGCAAAUUCCAGCAGAAUGGAAUGAUACAUCCAUAGUUCUAAUACCCAAAGUGGAUUCACCCGAAUUAAUCACACAGUACAGACCUAUCAGUCUUUGUAAUGUCUUAUAUAAGAUAAUAUCAAAGAUGCUCGCUUCUAGGUUGAAAGGAAUUUUGCCUGAUAUUAUUUCUCCUACUCAUAGUGCUUUUGUUCCUCGACGGUUAAUUACUGAUAAUGUCCUUAUUUCCUAUGAGUGUAUCCAUAAAAUAAAAAACACAAGAGCAGGGCGAACAGGUCUGUGUGCAGUGAAACUGGACAUGCACAAGGCUUAUGACCGUGUUGAGUGGAUUUUCUUAAGAAGCAUGAUGGAAAAGCUAGGGUUCCACGCCCUAUGGAAUGAUAUGAUUAUGGCUUGUGUAUCCUCUGUUAGAUACAAAGUAAGAUUUAAUUCUCAAGAAACAAAUAUGUUCACCCCUACUAGGGGGAUUCGACAAGGGGAUCCCCUCUCCCCAUACUUGUUCCUUCUUUGUGCAGAAGGGAUGUCUAGUAUGUUGCAGUAUGAAGAAGAAGUUGGUGGCAUGGAUGGAAUUAGAGUGUGCAGAAAUGCACCGUCAGUAUCACACCUUUUAUUUGCUGAUGAUUCUCUAAUUAAUUCUCAUGAGAGCAGAUGUGUUAAAUGCAACUUCCUUACAGCAAGUACUGGAUACCUAUUGUGCAAGUUCAGGACAAAUUGUGAGUCUGGCUAA